Molecule: ribosomal RNA, 468 nt
Filed under: uncultured bacterium
Lineage: Bacteria
Description: partial 16S ribosomal RNA
Rfam family: Bacterial small subunit ribosomal RNA
Source: RNAcentral
GACGAACGCUGGCGGCGUGCUUAACACAUGCCAGUCGAACGGAAAGGCCCUGCUUUUGUGGGGUGCUCGAGUGGCGAACGGGUGAGUAACACGUGAGUAACCUGCCCUUGACUUUGGGAUAACUUCAGGAAACUGGGGCUAAUACCGGAUAGGAGCUCCUGCUGCAUGGUGGGGGUUGGAAAGUUUCGGCGGUUGGGGAUGGACUCGCGGCUUAUCAGCUUGUUGGUGGGGUAGUGGCUUACCAAGGCUUUGACGGGUAGCCGGCCUGAGAGGGUGACCGGCCACAUUGGGACGGAGAUACGGCCCAGACUCCUACGGGAGGCAGCAGUGGGGAAUAUUGCACAAUGGGCGGAAGCCUGAUGCAGCAACGCCGCGUGCGGGAUGACGGCCUUCGGGUUGUAAACCGCUUUCGCCUGUGACGAAGCGUGAGUGACGGUAAUGGGUAAAGAAGCACCGGCUAACUACGCG